Suncus etruscus (white-toothed pygmy shrew) is the source of this 141-nucleotide small nucleolar RNA. RefSeq annotates it as small nucleolar RNA SNORA48. NCBI's taxonomy places the organism in Eukaryota, Metazoa, Chordata, Mammalia, Eulipotyphla, Soricidae. The record is from RefSeq and is a predicted model, not a curated record. The transcript has a single exon.
CAACCCUGACAAUAGGCAAAGUGACACCUCAUUGGUGGUGUUACUGUUCUGUCAGUCAGGGACAAAGCAGAUGGUCCUUUGUUCAUCCAAGCUGGAUGCCUGGAUUGGUGGCCAGAGCUCUUUUAUGCUUGGGACAAAACA